UUUAAUGGCCGCAGUAUUUUGACUGUGCUAAGGUAGCAUAAUCAUUAGUUUUUUAAUUGAAAGCUAGAAUGAAGGGUUUGAUGAAAAAAUAACUGUCUUUAUUUAAUUAAAUUAGAAAUUUAUUUUUAAGUUCAAAAGCUUAAAUUUUAUUAAAAGACGAGAAGACCCUAUAGAGUUUUAUAAAUUAUUUUAUACAUUAUUUAUUGAAUUUUAUAUUUUUAUUUUAUUAAUUUAUUUAGUUGGGGUGAUUUAAAAAUUAAAAUAACUUUUUUUCUUCUUGAAUAUAUAUUUAUAGAUUUUUGACUUUAUUUUUUAAGUUAUAAGAAUUAAUUACCUUAGGGAUAACAGCGUAAUUUUAUUGGAGAGUU
This 368-nucleotide ribosomal RNA is filed under the name Luperomorpha glabricollis. RNAcentral describes it as "partial 16S ribosomal RNA". The record is from RNAcentral. Lineage: Eukaryota; Metazoa; Arthropoda; Insecta; Coleoptera; Chrysomelidae.